This 815-nucleotide ribosomal RNA is filed under the name uncultured Duganella sp. RNAcentral describes it as "bacterial SSU rRNA". It matches the Rfam family "Bacterial small subunit ribosomal RNA", at positions 60 to 873 of the family's 1533-position model. Lineage: Bacteria; Pseudomonadati; Pseudomonadota; Betaproteobacteria; Burkholderiales; Oxalobacteraceae. The record is from RNAcentral.
AGUCGAACGGCAGCGCGGGGCAACCUGGCGGCGAGUGGCGAACGGGUGAGUAAUAUAUCGGAACGUACCCUGGAGUGGGGGAUAACGUAGCGAAAGUUACGCUAAUACCGCAUACGAUCUAAGGAUGAAAGUGGGGGAUCGCAAGACCUCAUGCUCCUGGAGCGGCCGAUAUCUGAUUAGCUAGUUGGUGGGGUAAAGGCCUACCAAGGCAUCGAUCAGUAGCUGGUCUGAGAGGACGACCAGCCACACUGGAACUGAGACACGGUCCAGACUCCUACGGGAGGCAGCAGUGGGGAAUUUUGGACAAUGGGCGCAAGCCUGAUCCAGCAAUGCCGCGUGAGUGAAGAAGGCCUUCGGGUUGUAAAGCUCUUUUGUCAGGGAAGAAACGGGUUUUUCUAAUACAGAGACCUAAUGACGGUACCUGAAGAAUAAGCACCGGCUAACUACGUGCCAGCAGCCGCGGUAAUACGUAGGGUGCAAGCGUUAAUCGGAAUUACUGGGCGUAAAGCGUGCGCAGGCGGUUUUGUAAGUCUGUCGUGAAAUCCCCGGGCUCAACCUGGGAAUUGCGAUGGAGACUGCAAGGCUAGAAUCUGGCAGAGGGGGGUAGAAUUCCACGUGUAGCAGUGAAAUGCGUAGAGAUGUGGAGGAACACCGAUGGCGAAGGCAGCCCCCUGGGUCAAGAUUGACGCUCAUGCACGAAAGCGUGGGGAGCAAACAGGAUUAGAUACCCUGGUAGUCCACGCCCUAAACGAUGUCUACUAGUUGUCGGGUCUUAAUUGACUUGGUAACGCAGCUAACGCGUGAAGUAGACCGCC